Molecule: ribosomal RNA, 288 nt
Filed under: Triticum aestivum (bread wheat)
Lineage: Eukaryota; Viridiplantae; Streptophyta; Magnoliopsida; Poales; Poaceae
Description: partial small subunit ribosomal RNA
Source: RNAcentral
AUGCUCAAGCGCCGCCCGUGCAUCGAUGCCGGCGUCAGUUGCAUUGAGGAGUUCGUGGAGCCCCUCGACCCCGCCCUCGCCCUCACCUACAUCGACAACCCCGCCCGUCUCGGCGCGGUCGACUCCCCCUUCGUCCGGCUCGUCUCCGACGAGUACGGCGUCGGCGGGGACAAAGCGCCGUUUGUCUGCCUCGGCGGCUUCCGGAACACCCGCGGUGUGUAUGAGCUCGAGGAGGGCGAGGAGCGGGGGCUCGUGCUAGAGCUCGGAGGGAGGGGCUCUGUGUCGUGA